ACUCAAAGGAAUAGACGGGGACCCGCACAAGCGGUGGAGCGUGUUGUUUAAUUCGAUGGUAAGCGAAGAACCUUACCAGGGCUUGACAUCUUUGGAAUUACUGCGAAAGCAGUGAGUGCCCUUGGGAGCCAAGUGACAGGUGUUGCAUGGCCGUCGUCAGCUCGUGUCGUGAGAUGUUUGGUUAAGUCCAUCAACGAGCGCAACCCCUAUGGUUAGUUGUAUUUUUCUAACCAGACUGCCCCGGCAACGGGGAGGAAGGAGGGGAUGAUGUCAGGUCUGUAUUACCCUUACGCCCUGGGCAACAAACGCGCUACAAUGGCCGGUACAAUGAGCAGCCAAGUCGUGAGACGGAGCAAAUCUCAUCAAAGCCGGUCCCAGUUCGGAUUGCAGGCUGAAACUCGCCUGCAUGAAGUCGGAAUCGCUAGUAAUCGCGGAUCAGCACGCCGCGGUGAAUACGUUCCCGGGUCUUGUACACACCGCCCGU
RNAcentral lists this ribosomal RNA (484 nucleotides) under uncultured bacterium. Its description in RNAcentral is "partial 16S ribosomal RNA". It matches the Rfam family "Bacterial small subunit ribosomal RNA", at positions 899 to 1397 of the family's 1533-position model. The record is from RNAcentral.